GGCAACAGCUCAAAUUUGAAAUCUGGCCCCCUCGGGGCCCGAGUUGUAAUUUGGAGAAGAUGCUUUUGGCGCGGCCCCUUCUGAGUUCCCUGGAACGGGACGCCAUAGAGGGUGAGAGCCCCGUAUAGUUGGAUGCCAAGCCUUUGUAAAGCUCCUUC
RNAcentral lists this ribosomal RNA (158 nucleotides) under Clavicipitaceae sp. RNAcentral describes it as "partial large subunit ribosomal RNA". It matches the Rfam family "Eukaryotic large subunit ribosomal RNA", at positions 100 to 258 of the family's 3401-position model. The record is from RNAcentral. Lineage: Eukaryota; Fungi; Ascomycota; Sordariomycetes; Hypocreales; Clavicipitaceae.